CAACCCUCAAGCUCCGGCUUGGUGUUGGGGCCCUACGCCGACGCGUAGGCCCCGAAAAUCAGUGGCGGGACCCGCCGCCGCCCCGUGCGUAGUAGCUAACGCCUCGCUCCGGGACGCGGCGGGCUCCUGGCCGGUAAACCACCCCCCAUCGUACC
RNAcentral lists this unclassified non-coding RNA (155 nucleotides) under uncultured Sordariomycetes. RNAcentral describes it as "sequence contains ITS2". Lineage: Eukaryota; Fungi; Ascomycota; Sordariomycetes. The record is from RNAcentral.